UGGGGAAUAUUGGACAAUGGGCGCAAGCCUGAUCCAGCCAUGCCGCGUGUGUGAAGAAGGCCUUCGGGUUGCAAAGCUCUUUUGUCCGGAAAGAAAAGCAUACGGUUAAUAACCGGAUGUCAUGACGGUACCGGAAGAAUAAGCACCGGCUAACUUCGUGCCAGCAGCCGCGGUAAUACGAAGGGUGCAAGCGUUACUCGGAAUUACUGGGCGUAAAGCGGGCGUAGGUGGUUCGUUAAGUCUGAUGUGAAAGCCCUGGGCUCAACCUGGGAAUGGCAUUGGAUACUGGCGGACUGGAGUGCGGUAGAGGAUGGCGGAAUUCCCGGUGUAGCAGUGAAAUGCGUAGAGAUCGGGAGGAACAUCUGUGGCGAAGGCGGCCAUCUGGACCAGCACUGACACUGAGGCACGAAAGCGUGGGGAGCAAA
RNAcentral lists this ribosomal RNA (425 nucleotides) under uncultured bacterium. RNAcentral's name for it is "bacterial SSU rRNA". It matches the Rfam family "Bacterial small subunit ribosomal RNA", at positions 355 to 772 of the family's 1533-position model. The record is from RNAcentral.